CCUCUAUUUCUUGGCAUACAUGUAGUUGCUCAGUACUCAUGUUUGUGAUGUCAGGAGGUAAAGCAGGGCCAGUGCUAUGUCUUUGGGUGCCAGUAUGUUCAGAGUAUGCUGGUCCUGUCCGCAAUCACUGAAAGAAUU
Small nucleolar RNA from Tachysurus vachellii, 138 nucleotides. RefSeq annotates it as small nucleolar RNA SNORA57. The record is from RefSeq and is a predicted model, not a curated record. Lineage: Eukaryota; Metazoa; Chordata; Actinopteri; Siluriformes; Bagridae. The transcript has a single exon.